Molecule: ribosomal RNA, 253 nt
Filed under: uncultured bacterium
Lineage: Bacteria
Description: partial 16S ribosomal RNA
Rfam family: Bacterial small subunit ribosomal RNA
Source: RNAcentral
GACAGAGGUGCCGAGCGUUAGGCGGAAUCACUGGGCUUAAAGCGUGUGUAGGCGGCUCUGUAAGUACCUUGUGAAAUCCCACGGCUCAACCGUGGAACUGCUCGGUAUACUGCGGAUCUUGAGCCACCUAGGGGCAACCGGAACAAAUGGUGGAGCGGUGAAAUGCGUAGAUAUCAUUUGGAACGCCAAUGGUGAAAACAGGUUGCUGGGGGUGUGCUGACGCUGAGACACGAAAGCCAGGGGAGCGAACGGG